RNAcentral lists this ribosomal RNA (429 nucleotides) under Chloroflexota bacterium. RNAcentral describes it as "Chloroflexi bacterium partial 16S ribosomal RNA". It matches the Rfam family "Bacterial small subunit ribosomal RNA", at positions 355 to 776 of the family's 1533-position model. The record is from RNAcentral. Lineage: Bacteria; Bacillati; Chloroflexota.
UGGGGAAUAUUGCACAAUGGGCGCAAGCCUGAUGCAGCCAUGCCGCGUGUAUGAAGAAGGCCUUCGGGUUGUAAAGUACUUUCAGCGGGGAGGAAGGGAGUAAAGUUAAUACCUUUGCUCAUUGACGUUACCUGCAGAAGAAGCACCGGCUAACUCCGUGCCAGCAGCCGCGGUAAUACGGAGGGUGCAAGCGUUAAUCGGAAUUACUGGGCGUAAAGCGCACGCAGGCGGUUUGUUAAGUCAGAUGUGAAAUCCUCGGGCUCAACCUGGGAACUGCAUCUGAUACUGGCAAGCUUGAGUCUCGUAGAGGGGGGUAGAAUUCCAGGUGUAGCGGUGACAUGCGUAGAGAUCUGGAGGAAUACCGGUGGCGAAGGCGGCCCCCUGGACGAAGACUGACGCUCAGGUGCGAAAGCGUGGGGAGCAAACAGG